RNAcentral lists this unclassified non-coding RNA (361 nucleotides) under uncultured bacterium. RNAcentral's name for it is "contains 16S-23S intergenic spacer region". The record is from RNAcentral.
UCCCCCGUGAGGGGGCAGUCUCGCCUGACUUAUAAAACAGGCAACGCGGGUUGCGUUCGUUACCCCACUGAAGGGAACAACUCAAGCCACGAACUGACGACGACCAUGCAUCACCUGCCCAGCCGUCUUGCGAAGGUCUAAGUUUCCUUAGACUGUCGUCUGGGUGUCAAACCCUGGUGAGGUUCUUCGUUUGUCAUCGAAUUGAGCCGCAUGAUCCACCGCUUGUGCAAGUCCCCGUCUAUUCCUUUGAGUUUUAGCCUUGCGGCCGUACUACCCAGGCGCACAACUUAACGCGUUAGCUUCGCCACAAAGAGGGUCGAUACUCCUUAUAGCCAGUUGUGAUCGUUUAGGGCGUGGACUA